Molecule: ribosomal RNA, 428 nt
Filed under: uncultured bacterium
Lineage: Bacteria
Description: bacterial SSU rRNA
Rfam family: Bacterial small subunit ribosomal RNA
Source: RNAcentral
UGGGGAAUAUUGCGCAAUGGGGGAAACCCUGACGCAGCGACGCCGUGUGAGGGAAGAAGGCUUUCGGGUCGUAAACCUCUGUCAGGAAAGAAGAACCUCUCAAGGCUGAACAAGCCUUGGGACUGACGGUACUUCCAGAGGAAGCACCGGCUAACUCCGUGCCAGCAGCCGCGGUAAUACGGAGGGUGCAAGCGUUAAUCGGAAUCACUGGGCGUAAAGCGCGCGUAGGCCGUCUUUUAAGUCGGACGUGAAAGCCCUCGGCUCAACCGGGGAACUGCGUUCGAUACUGGGAGACUUGAGUCCUGGAGAGGGUGGCGGAAUUCCGGGUGUAGCGGUGAAAUGCGUAGAUAUCAGGAGGAACACCUGCGGUGUAGACAGCUUUCUGGACCAAAACUGACGCUGAGGCACGAAAGCGUGGGUAGCAAACA